Molecule: ribosomal RNA, 253 nt
Filed under: uncultured bacterium
Lineage: Bacteria
Description: partial 16S ribosomal RNA
Rfam family: Bacterial small subunit ribosomal RNA
Source: RNAcentral
UACGGGGGGGGUAAGCGUUGUUCGGAAUUACUGGGCGUAAAGGGCUCGUAGGCGGCCAACUAAGUCAGACGUGAAAUCCCUCAGCUUAACUGGGGAACUGCGUCUGAUACUGGAUGGCUUGGAUUCGGGAGAGGAAUGCGGAAUUCCAGGUGUAGCGGUGAAAUGCGUAGAUAUCUGGAGGAACACCGGUGGCGAAGGCGACAUCCUGGACCGGUAUUGACGCUGAGGCGCGAAAGCCAGGGGAGCAAACGGG